RNAcentral lists this ribosomal RNA (403 nucleotides) under uncultured bacterium. Its description in RNAcentral is "bacterial SSU rRNA". It matches the Rfam family "Bacterial small subunit ribosomal RNA", at positions 355 to 776 of the family's 1533-position model. The record is from RNAcentral.
UGGGGGAUAUUGCACAAUGGGGGAAACCCUGAUGCAGCGAUGCCGCGUGAGGGAAGACGGUUUUCGGAUUGUAAACCUCUGUCUUUGGGGACGAUAAUGACGGUACCCAAGGAGGAAGCACCGGCUAACUACGUGCCAGCAGCCGCGGUAAUACGUAGGGUGCGAGCGUUGUCCGGAAUUACUGGGUGUAAAGGGAGCGUAGGCGGGGGUUCAAGCCCUAUGUUAAAUCCAUCGGCUCAACCGGUGGCUGCGUAGGGAACUGGAUCUCUUGAGUGAAGUAGAGGCAGGCGGAAUUCCUAGUGUAGCGGUGAAAUGCGUAGAUAUUAGGAGGAACACCAGUGGCGAAGGCGGCCUGCUGGGCUUUUACUGACGCUGAGGCUCGAAAGCGUGGGGAGCAAACAGG